RNAcentral lists this transfer RNA (74 nucleotides) under Colletotrichum karsti. RNAcentral's name for it is "Colletotrichum karstii tRNA". It matches the Rfam family "tRNA". Rfam says of the family: Transfer RNA (tRNA) molecules are approximately 80 nucleotides in length. Their secondary structure includes four short double-helical elements and three loops (D, anti-codon, and T loops). Lineage: Eukaryota; Fungi; Ascomycota; Sordariomycetes; Glomerellales; Glomerellaceae. RNAcentral also lists the same sequence under 2 other names. The record is from Rfam by way of RNAcentral.
GGUUCGGUGGUGUAGUUGGUUAUCACGUCAGUCUAACACACUGAAGGUCUCCGGUUCAAGUCCGGGCCGAAUCA